Molecule: ribosomal RNA, 470 nt
Filed under: uncultured bacterium
Lineage: Bacteria
Description: bacterial SSU rRNA
Rfam family: Bacterial small subunit ribosomal RNA
Source: RNAcentral
AAUCAACGCUGGCGGCGUGCCUCAGACAUGCAAGUCGAACGAUUAAAGCUCUCUUCGGAGAGUGUAUAGAGUGGCGCACGGGUGAGUAACACGUAAGUAAUCUACCUUUGAGUGGGGAAUAACCCGGGGAAACCCGAGCUAAUACCGCAUAAUGCAGCGGCAUCGCAAAGAUGACAGUUGUUAAAGGAGCAAUCCGCUUAAAGAGGAGCUUGCGGCAGAUUAGCUAGUUGGUAAGGUAAUGGCUUACCAAGGCUACGAUCUGUAUCCGGUCUAAGAGGACGGUCGGACACACUGACACUGAAUAACGGGUCAGACUCCUACGGGAGGCAGCAGUCGGGAAUUUUGGGCAAUGGGCGAAAGCCUGACCCAGCAACGCCGCGUGAAGGAUGAAGUAUUUCGGUAUGUAAACUUCGAAAGAAUAGGAAGAAUAAAUGACGGUACUAUUUAUAAGGUCCGGCUAACUACGUGCC